AUACGGAGGGUGCAAGCGUUGUCCGGAUUUAUUGGGUUUAAAGGGUGCGUAGGUGGCGUGUUAAGUCAGUGGUGAAAGCCUGCAGCUCAACUGUAGAGGUGCCAUUGAUACUGACAUGCUUGAGUAUGGACGAGGUAGGCGGAAUUUGUGGUGUAGCGGUGAAAUGCAUAGAUACCACAAAGAACACCGAUAGCGAAGGCAGCUUACUGGACCAUAACUGACACUGAGGCACGAAAGUGUGGGUAGCGAACAGGAUUAGAAACCAUAGUAGUCC
This 274-nucleotide ribosomal RNA is filed under the name uncultured bacterium. Its description in RNAcentral is "partial 16S ribosomal RNA". It matches the Rfam family "Bacterial small subunit ribosomal RNA", at positions 523 to 796 of the family's 1533-position model. The record is from RNAcentral.